AUUGAACGCUGGCGGCAUGCCUUACACAUGCAAGUCGAACGGCAGCACGGGAGCAAUCCUGGUGGCGAGUGGCGAACGGGUGAGUAAUAUAUCGGAACGUGCCCAGUCGUGGGGAUAACGUAGCGAAAGCUACGCUAAUACCGCAUACGAUCUAUGGAUGAAAGCGGGGGAUCGCAAGACCUCGCGCGAUUGGAGCGGCCGAUAUCAGAUUAGGUAGUUGGUGAGGUAAAGGCUCACCAAGCCGACGAUCUGUAGCUGGUCUGAGAGGACGACCAGCCACACUAGGACUGAGACACGGCCCAGACUCCUACGGGAGGCAGCAGUGGGGAAUUUUGGACAAUGGGCGCAAGCCUGAUCCAGCAAUGCCGCGUGCAGGAUGAAGGCCUCGGUUGUAACUGCUUUGUUACGGUAACGAACGGUAGAG
Molecule: ribosomal RNA, 424 nt
Filed under: uncultured bacterium
Lineage: Bacteria
Description: bacterial SSU rRNA
Rfam family: Bacterial small subunit ribosomal RNA
Source: RNAcentral